This 253-nucleotide ribosomal RNA is filed under the name uncultured bacterium. RNAcentral's name for it is "partial 16S ribosomal RNA". It matches the Rfam family "Bacterial small subunit ribosomal RNA", at positions 524 to 776 of the family's 1533-position model. The record is from RNAcentral.
UACAGAGGGGGCAAGCGUUGUUCGGAAUUACUGGGCGUAAAGGGCGCGUAGGCGGCCUGUUAAGUCGGACGUGAAAUCCCCGGGCUCAACCCGGGAACUGCGUCCGAUACUGGCAGGCUUGAAUUCGGGAGAGGGAUGCGGAAUUCCAGGUGUAGCGGUGAAAUGCGUAGAUAUCUGGAGGAACACCGGUGGCGAAGGCGGCAUCCUGGACCGAGAUUGACGCUGAGGCGCGAAAGCCAGGGGAGCAAACGGG